ACAGUAAACAAUUCCCAGCAAAUCAAGAGGCACCUGAUAAAAAUUAUCCAAAAUCCUUGAAAGAACCAUUCCAGUAUAGGAAAUGCAUAGUGUUUUAAAGAAGGAAGAAAGUGAAAUUAUGGACUCAAAAGCCAGGAGAUGCAUGUAGAAAAUGCAGCAGUGGGAGAGAAUAUACACCAAAUGAUGGACAUUAAAAAGUAACCUGUAAAAAGUCAAUGCGUCUUUGCCUUGGUGAUGCUACCAGAGCUAGCUCUAACUGAAUAUACUUCUUUUAUUUCCAGAAUAUGAAAUUUUUACAGGCAUUAUGAGCUCCUGACACCUCUCUGCCAAGUCUGAACUUUCUUGAAUGCAUCAUGGGCAGGUACUGGAAGCAGAGAAUGUGGCUUUGUCUCUAUAUUAAAGCAAGACAUUCUCUGUAAAAACAACUUUCUGUAACGAUUUGAAAUUGACUGGUCUGUAGAGAUCAUGCACUGGUGGAGUUCACAGUCCUGAGGGAUAUGGGUCAGGCAAAGAGUAAAGUCAGGACCCUGAAUUUUGGGAAAACAAACUUCCAGCUCUUCAAGGAGUUAGUCAAUAGACUAAUAGGUAAACUGCCCUCAGAGACAAGGGAGAAGAACAAAAUUUUAAGGAUAUGUUCUACGGAGCACUAGCAAUCCCAAGAUGUAAUGAAUCGGGAAGGGAAGGCAAGAGACCAGCAUGACUGAGUGGAGACCUGCUGUUAAAACUAAAAGGCAAGAAGGAAAUGCACAGGCAGUGGCGGCAGGCACAGGUAUCCUGGGAAGACUGUAGGGAUUCUAUCUAGUUUUGUAGGGAUGAGGAAAUAAGGCCAAGGCAUGAACGGAGCUGAAUUUGACAAGGAAUGCAAAAAAUACUAAAGGCUUCUACAGGUAUGUCAGGCAAAAAAAGGAAGACUAAAGAAAGCGUACCCUCCU
Long non-coding RNA from Neopelma chrysocephalum (saffron-crested tyrant-manakin), 932 nucleotides. RefSeq lists it as uncharacterized. Lineage: Eukaryota; Metazoa; Chordata; Aves; Passeriformes; Pipridae. The transcript is spliced from 5 exons. The record is from RefSeq and is a predicted model, not a curated record.